UACGGAGGGAGCUAGCGUUGUUCGGAAUUACUGGGCGUAAAGCGCGCGUAGGCGGCUUUGUAAGUCAGAGGUGAAAUCCCGGAGCUCAACUCCGGAACUGCCUUUGAAACUGCAUCGCUUGAAUCCGGGAGAGGUGAGUGGAAUCCCGAGUGUAGAGGUGAAAUUCGUAGAUAUUCGGAAGAACACCAGUGGCGAAGGCGGCGCACUGGACCGGUAUUGACGCUGAGGUGCGAAAGCGUGGGGAGCAAACAGG
Molecule: ribosomal RNA, 253 nt
Filed under: uncultured bacterium
Lineage: Bacteria
Description: partial 16S ribosomal RNA
Rfam family: Bacterial small subunit ribosomal RNA
Source: RNAcentral